RNAcentral lists this microRNA precursor (158 nucleotides) under Ectocarpus siliculosus. RNAcentral describes it as "miR8619 stem-loop (esi-MIR8619)". The record is from miRBase by way of RNAcentral. Lineage: Eukaryota; Phaeophyceae; Ectocarpales; Ectocarpaceae.
GUAGCCAAGAUCGGGUGCACCCGGUGGAAAGACGGCCAAGGCCAGGUAGGGCCGGGUGCCGGCCAAUCAGAUGGUGGCAUGCGGUCGCUCCCAGCAGCGUCUAGCAGGGGUACCCGAUUAUGGCCGUGUUCUGACCGGGUGUACCCGAUUUUGGCCAC